RNAcentral lists this long non-coding RNA (225 nucleotides) under Elaeis guineensis (African oil palm). RNAcentral describes it as "long non-coding RNA (EGUI_LNC001100)". The record is from RNAcentral. Lineage: Eukaryota; Viridiplantae; Streptophyta; Magnoliopsida; Arecales; Arecaceae.
AUGGUUGAUCAGUGAUUAAGAAUCAUUCUAGGGUUAAAUGAUCAAUACGAUUGAUAUUUAACCUAGUGCAAGUAUUGCAGGAGGAUCGAUUAGUAAUUCGAUUGCUAAUUGACUUAAUUUGAUUAAGCUAAUAGACUGAAAUUAAGUCUAAUUAAAUAUAAUUUAAUUAGAUUUAGUUUGGGCUUGAUUGGAUCAAGUUCAGUUGAUUUAUUGGAUAAGCCAAGU